This 229-nucleotide ribosomal RNA is filed under the name uncultured bacterium. RNAcentral's name for it is "partial 16S ribosomal RNA". It matches the Rfam family "Bacterial small subunit ribosomal RNA", at positions 568 to 796 of the family's 1533-position model. The record is from RNAcentral.
UGCGUAGGCGGGUUAAUAAGUCAGUGGUGAAAACCUUCAGCUUAACUGGAGACUUGCCAUUGAUACUGUUAGUCUUGAGUACGGUCAAGGUAGGCGGAAUGUGUAAUGUAGCGGUGAAAUGCUUAGAUAUUACACAGAACACCGAUUGCGAAGGCAGCUUACUGGGCCAUUACUGACGCUGAGGCACGAAAGCGUGGGGAGCGAACAGGAUUAGAUACCCUGGUAGUCC